Molecule: transfer RNA, 71 nt
Filed under: Loxodonta africana (African savanna elephant)
Lineage: Eukaryota; Metazoa; Chordata; Mammalia; Proboscidea; Elephantidae
Rfam family: tRNA
About the family: Transfer RNA (tRNA) molecules are approximately 80 nucleotides in length. Their secondary structure includes four short double-helical elements and three loops (D, anti-codon, and T loops).
Source: Rfam by way of RNAcentral
GCGUUGGUGGUUAAGUGGUAGAACUCCCACCUUCCAUAUUGGAGACCUGGGUUCGAUUCCAGACCAAUGCG